GCCUCUGUGGUGAAAUUGGUAGACACGCUGCACUUAGGAUGCAGUGCCUUCGGCAUUUCGGUUCGAGUCCGAACAGAGGCA
Molecule: transfer RNA, 81 nt
Filed under: Opitutia bacterium TMED67
Lineage: Bacteria; Pseudomonadati; Verrucomicrobiota; Opitutia
Description: Opitutae bacterium TMED67 tRNA-Leu
Rfam family: tRNA
About the family: Transfer RNA (tRNA) molecules are approximately 80 nucleotides in length. Their secondary structure includes four short double-helical elements and three loops (D, anti-codon, and T loops). Further hydrogen bonds mediate the characteristic L-shaped molecular structure. tRNAs have two regions of fundamental functional importance: the anti-codon, which is responsible for specific mRNA codon recognition, and the 3' end, to which the tRNAs corresponding amino acid is attached (by aminoacyl-tRNA synthetases). tRNAs cope with the degeneracy of the genetic code in two manners: having more than one tRNA (with a specific anti-codon) for a particular amino acid; and 'wobble' base-pairing, i.e. permitting non-standard base-pairing at the 3rd anti-codon position.
Source: RNAcentral